GGGCUGGGGGACAAGGUGAGCAGAUGCUUGCAGCCUUCUGAAGUGGUGUGGUGUGGCUGUGUGUGGGUUGAAGCCUUCUGGAAUUCCAUGGUGAUCCUGUGUGUGUUGUGGCCAUCUCAACUGUGCCGUGUGCCACCACUGACCAGCUGGGAAUACUGGGAAGCCAAAUCACCCUUUCCACCCUUGGCUGCUGUGGUUACCAGACAUCUAUUUUAAGGUACAGAUAUUGCUCAGAUGCUGUCUCUGACUGGACCUUGGUGCAGGCACAGUUUGUGGUAACUGGGGGUGAGGCUGCAGCUGAGCCUCAUCCCCAAUGGGCUACAGCUGUGAGGAGCAGCAGCUCAUUUGACACUGGUCGCCUGACCUCUGCUACCAUAAUAGCUGUUAAUGGAAACUUCACCUCAUGCAACGAUAAGAUGGCUUUUUGGCAGCUGUGAGAGAUUAUGAAGAGUAAGAACAAUCUUAGCUGGAAUCAGAAGAAAAGAAAGCAUCUGUACCUUGAGAAACACUCAGCUGGUUUUCAUUACACACCAAGCCUGUAUUUAUUACAAAGACUAGCCAAGAGACAGAAAAUGAUCGGUCUCUGCACUCGGGCAGGGAGACUGUGUUGGCUUGAUAAAUUCUUCCUUUCUUCUCACUUGUGGAACUACAAGUGACCAGAGCUGUUCAAAACUACUGGCUUUCUGUCUCACAGGCCAUCUUCUGAGGCUGCUCUUCAUCGCAGUUUUCUUUCAGUGUUGCCCUCUCAUCUCCAGCUGAGAUUUUUUUUGUCCCUUCUAAAAUGGAAAGCAAAGGAGGUGAGGAGAAACAAGGGGAGGAAAAGUUACGUCUUUCUUUAUACAGGAGUUUUACUACAGCAGAUGUCAAAUAAAUGAAUAAUUCCUUUAAGGUCUUUGUCACUAGAAAUCUCUUUUCCUAAGCAUGAGUAUAUGGUGAGAAGCAUCGGCUACAGAGCUCAAUUAAAAUUCAGAAUUUGAAAGCUCAGUCAUUAAAGUGAAAAGCAGAAAACCUCUGUUACAGAGAGAGUUUGGUAAAAAAACAGUUAGUGAAUAUAAGAAAAAAAUAUAUUUAUUUUUCUGUCUUCUGUCCAAGCCUGGAAAACACCAGAUUGAGCUGAGCUGUCACUAAAGAUUAGGAGACAACAGCUACCAACCACAAAACAUUUGGAUUUGUCACUAAAGGCACUGUGAAGGGAGCCAAGUGAGUCGAGUAAACAGAAUGCUGUGGCAGAAAACUUUGAUUUAGUUAUAACUGGGUAAACAUGGGGCUUAACUUCUGUAAACAUGUGUGGAGUUUUGCCACAGACCCUUUACAUCUGAAGUGAGAAUUAAAUUAUACAAGGCAGAGGGGAAGGCCUUUCAGAAUCCUUUUUUUUUUAAUGCUGAAAUUAAUUUGUAAAUUACAAGGGUGGGAGACAGGAGUUGUCUUUUUAGCCCUUCCAAAAAGGAUGAGAGUUAGAGGCUUCCACUACUUGUUUGAUCUCUUGCAGCUGCUCCUGGAGAAGCUUGUUCCCUUGAGAUGGUGGAUGUAGUAGUAUUUUCUACAUUCUUCUGUAAAAACCUGGAAAGAAAGCACAGCACACAACAUGCCUGCCACCAUCACAA
Molecule: long non-coding RNA, 1604 nt
Organism: Passer domesticus (house sparrow)
Lineage: Eukaryota; Metazoa; Chordata; Aves; Passeriformes; Passeridae
Exons: 3
Source: RefSeq, a predicted model, not a curated record